RNAcentral lists this ribosomal RNA (443 nucleotides) under uncultured bacterium. RNAcentral describes it as "partial 16S ribosomal RNA". It matches the Rfam family "Bacterial small subunit ribosomal RNA", at positions 338 to 795 of the family's 1533-position model. The record is from RNAcentral.
CCUACGGGCGACAGCAGUGGGGAAUAUUGGACAAUGGGGGGAACCCUGAUCCAGCGACGCCGCGUGAGUGAAGAAGUAUUUCGGUAUGUAAAGCUCUAUCAGCAGGGAAGAAAGAAAUGACGGUACCUGACUAAGAAGCCCCGGCUAACUACGUGCCAGCAGCCGCGGUAAUACGUAGGGGGCAAGCGUUAUCCGGAUUUACUGGGUGUAAAGGGAGCGUAGACGGCGAUGCAAGUCUGAAGUGAAAGGCGGGGGCCCAACCCCCGGACUGCUUUGGAAACUGUAUGGCUGGAGUGCAGGAGAGGUAAGUGGAAUUCCUAGUGUAGCGGUGAAAUGCGUAGAGAUUAGGAGGAACACCAGUGGCGAAGGCGGCUUACUGGACUGUAACUGACGUUGAGGCUCGAAAGCGUGGGGAGCAAACAGGAUUAGAUACCCGUGUAGUC